UACGUAGGAUGCAAGCGUUGUCCGGAAUUAUUGGGCGUAAAGAGCGCGCAGGCGGCCUAUCAAGUCAGAUGUGAAAUAUCCAGGCUUAACCUGGAGGGGUCAUUUGAAACUGGUAGACUAGAGUACAGCAGAGGAUAGUGGAAUUCCCGGUGUAGUGGUGAAAUGCGUAGAUAUCGGGAGGAACACCAGUGGCGAAGGCGACUAUCUGGGCUGAAACUGACGCUGAGGCGCGAAGGCUAGGGGAGCAAACAGG
Molecule: ribosomal RNA, 253 nt
Filed under: uncultured bacterium
Lineage: Bacteria
Description: partial 16S ribosomal RNA
Rfam family: Bacterial small subunit ribosomal RNA
Source: RNAcentral